AGUUCAGAGUCUGGGCGCAGAGAGCCAGCAUGACAGCCUCGAAGCCAAGAUUCAGAAGCCAUUAGAUAGAUAAGUAAAGGAGGCUGAAGCAUUCCCUUAGUCCUUUCAGAAGAGGCUCAGGUGGGCCCCUCCCCACUUCCUGGGCAUAAGAGGGAGGGGAGGGCGGCACAGCCAGGCUGGCAAGAGCCUCCAUAAAGCAGACUUCAGUUCUUCUAAUGGAGUCUGUUUCCGGAUCUGGUCUACCUUGUGGAGCUGGCACUGCGGGUCGAAAGAGGACUUCCAAGGCUGCUGCUUCAAAGCGGGGCCCACGUGGGCACGACAGGUGGAGAACAAGGAAUGGAAGCCUUUGAGAGGCUCCUUCGGAGCAAGAGGGAAGGAGGGUCCUGCCCAUCUGGCGCGCCGCCUAUUCCUACAACACGGAGGCCCAGAUCUACGCCCCCAGCAGCGCCUCUUCCUACUUUGAGCCGCAGGGGGGCAGCUCUCAGGUGAGCCCGGGGGCGUCCUCUCCCACCGCCAUCCCCUCCCACGGCAUGGUGGGCCUCGCCCUGGACAGCGGGGGCAGCAGCCAGAUCGUCUCCAGCUCCGGGGCCUAUCUCAUCCAUGGCGGGAUGGAGAACGCCCGGCACACCUUGUCGCACACCUCUCGGUCCUCUCCGGCCACGAUCGAAAUGGCCAUUGAAAACCUC
This is a non-coding RNA of Python bivittatus (Burmese python), 686 nucleotides long. The record is from RefSeq and is a predicted model, not a curated record. NCBI's taxonomy places the organism in Eukaryota, Metazoa, Chordata, Lepidosauria, Squamata, Pythonidae.